Molecule: ribosomal RNA, 1354 nt
Filed under: uncultured bacterium
Lineage: Bacteria
Description: bacterial SSU rRNA
Rfam family: Bacterial small subunit ribosomal RNA
Source: RNAcentral
AUUGAACGCUGGCGGCAUGCCUUACACAUGCAAGUCGAACGGCAGCACGGAGCUUGCUCUGGUGGCGAGUGGCGAACGGGUGAGUAAUAUAUCGGAACGUACCCUAGAGUGGGGGAUAACGUAGCGAAAGUUACGCUAAUACCGCAUACGAUCUAAGGAUGAAAGUGGGGGAUCGCAAGACCUCAUGCUCGUGGAGCGGCCGAUAUCUGAUUAGCUAGUUGGUAGGGUAAAAGCCUACCAAGGCAUCGAUCAGUAGCUGGUCUGAGAGGACGACCAGCCACACUGGAACUGAGACACGGUCCAGACUCCUACGGGAGGCAGCAGUGGGGAAUUUUGGACAAUGGGCGAAAGCCUGAUCCAGCAAUGCCGCGUGAGUGAAGAAGGCCUUCGGGUUGUAAAGCUCUUUUGUCAGGGAAGAAACGGUGAGAGCUAAUAUCUCUUGCUAAUGACGGUACCUGAAGAAUAAGCACCGGCUAACUACGUGCCAGCAGCUGCGGUAAUACGUAGGGUGCAAGCGUUAAUCGGAAUUACUGGGCGUAAAGCGUGCGCAGGCGGUUUUGUAAGUCUGAUGUGAAAUCCCCGGGCUCAACCUGGGAAUUGCAUUGGAGACUGCAAGGCUAGAAUCUGGCAGAGGGGGGGUAGAAUUCCACGUGUAGCAGUGAAAUGCGUAGAUAUGUGGAGGAACACCGAUGGCGAAGGCAGCCCCCUGGGUCAAGAUUGACGCUCAUGCACGAAAGCGUGGGGAGCAAACAGGAUUAGAUACCCUGGUAGUCCACGCCCUAAACGAUGUCUACUAGUUGUCGGGUCUUAAUUGACUUGGUAACGCAGCUAACGCGUGAAGUAGACCGCCUGGGGAGUACGGUCGCAAGAUUAAAACUCAAAGGAAUUGACGGGGACCCGCACAAGCGGUGGAUGAUGUGGAUUAAUUCGAUGCAACGCGAAAAACCUUACCUACCCUUGACAUGGCUGGAAUCCCCGAGAGAUUGGGGAGUGCUCGAAAGAGAACCAGUACACAGGUGCUGCAUGGCUGUCGUCAGCUCGUGUCGUGAGAUGUUGGGUUAAGUCCCGCAACGAGCGCAACCCUUGUCAUUAGUUGCUACGAAAGGGCACUCUAAUGAGACUGCCGGUGACAAACCAGAGGAAGGUGGGGAUGACGUCAAGUCCUCAUGGCCCUUAUGGGUAGGGCUUCACACGUCAUACAAUGGUACAUACAGAGCGCCGCCAACCCGCGAGGGGGAGCUAAUCGCAGAAAGUGUAUCGUAGUCCGGAUUGUAGUCUGCAACUCGACUGCAUGAAGUUGGAAUCGCUAGUAAUCGCGGAUCAGCAUGUCGCGGUGAAUAAAAUGCCCGGGUCU